Molecule: unclassified non-coding RNA, 191 nt
Filed under: Glomeraceae sp.
Lineage: Eukaryota; Fungi; Glomeromycota; Glomeromycetes; Glomerales; Glomeraceae
Description: partial contains 5.8S ribosomal RNA and internal transcribed spacer 2
Rfam family: 5.8S ribosomal RNA (bases 1-71)
Source: RNAcentral
GUGAAUCAUCAAAUUUUUGAACGCAAAUUGCGCUUCCUGGGAUCCCGGGGAGUAUGCCUGUGUGAGGGUCAGUAUUAACAAGAAAUCGGUUUGGUUGCAAAUUGUGACGGUUCCGGAGUUUGGGCUAUCUUAACUUUUUUGGUUAAGGGGAAUAAAAUUGACCUUAUUUGCGCAUUUUUAGACGAACAUAA